GCUUGCUAUGAUAAAAAUUAGUGGCAGACGGGUGAGUAAUGCAUAGGAAUCUACCUAGUAGUAUGGGAUAGCCACUAGAAAUGGUGGGUAAUACUGUAUAAUCCCUGCGGGGGAAAGAUUUAUCGCUAUUAGAUGAGCCUAUGUUAGAUUAGCUAGUUGGUAGGGUAAAGGCCUACCAAGGCAGUGAUCUAUAGCUGGUCUGAGAGGAUGAUCAGCCACACUGGAACUGAGAUACGGUCCAGACUCCUACGGGAGGCAGCAGUGGGGAAUAUUGGACAAUGGGCGCAAGCCUGAUCCAGCUAUGCCGCGUGAGUGAGGAAGGCCUUAG
Molecule: ribosomal RNA, 328 nt
Filed under: Anaplasma platys
Lineage: Bacteria; Pseudomonadati; Pseudomonadota; Alphaproteobacteria; Rickettsiales; Anaplasmataceae
Description: bacterial SSU rRNA
Rfam family: Bacterial small subunit ribosomal RNA
Source: RNAcentral